AGCUCUGCCAGUGCAUAGAACUAUUGCUGCGGUUAAAAAGCUCGUAGUUGGAUCUCUGUUCGCGGCCGGGUCGCUCCUCCGGGGGUGCACUCGCGUCGUGGGCAUCCAGUCGACUCGUCCUCUGUCGCGGGUUCGCCCCGGUGGUUGGCGGUUGGCGUGUUUACCUUGAGCAAAUCAGAGUGCUCAAGACAGGCAUUGCGCCUGAAUGUUCUUGCAUGGAAUAAUAGAAGAGGAUUUCGGUUCUGUUUUGUUGGUUUUGAAGCCGAGAUAAUGGUCAAUAGAGACAAACGGGGGCAUCGGUAUUUCUGCGUGAGAGGUGAAAUUCUUGGACCGCAGGAGGACCAACAACAGCGAAGGCAGUUGCCAAGAAUGUCUUCA
This 378-nucleotide ribosomal RNA is filed under the name uncultured eukaryote. RNAcentral describes it as "SSU rRNA". It matches the Rfam family "Eukaryotic small subunit ribosomal RNA", at positions 587 to 972 of the family's 1831-position model. The record is from RNAcentral.